AGUGAACGCUGGCGGUAGGCCUAACACAUGCAAGUCGAACGGCAGCACAGUAAGAGCUUGCUCUUACGGGUGGCGAGUGGCGGACGGGUGAGGAAUACAUCGGAAUCUACUUUUUCGUGGGGGAUAACGUAGGGAAACUUACGCUAAUACCGCAUACGACCUACGGGUGAAAGCAGGGGAUCUUCGGACCUUGCGCGAUUGAAUGAGCCGAUGUCGGAUUAGCUAGUUGGCGGGGUAAGGCCCACCAAGGCGACGAUCCGUAGCUGGUCUGAGAGGAGGAUCAGCGACACUGGAACUGAGACACGGUCCAGACUCCUACGGGAGGCAGCAGUGGGGAAUAUUGGACAAUGGGCGCAAGCCUGAUCCAGCCAUACCGCGUGGGUGAAGAAGGCCUUCGGGUUGUAAAGCCCUUUUGUUGGGAAAGAAAAGCAGCAGGUUAAUACCCCGCUGUUCUGACGGUACCCAAAGAAUAAGCACCGGCUAACUUCGUG
Molecule: ribosomal RNA, 491 nt
Filed under: uncultured bacterium
Lineage: Bacteria
Description: partial 16S ribosomal RNA
Rfam family: Bacterial small subunit ribosomal RNA
Source: RNAcentral